Molecule: long non-coding RNA, 5284 nt
Filed under: Sus scrofa (pig)
Lineage: Eukaryota; Metazoa; Chordata; Mammalia; Artiodactyla; Suidae
Description: lncRNA (ENSSSCG00000054917.1)
Source: RNAcentral
CCUGGCCUUGCUCAUUGGAUUAAGGAUCUGGGGUUGCCAUGAGCUGUGGUGUAGGUUGCAGACAUGGCUCAGAUCCUGCAUUGCUGUGGCUUUGGCAUAGGCCAGUGGCUAAAGCUCCAAUUAGACCCUAGCCUGGGAACCUCCAUAUGCCACAGGUACAGCCCUAAAAAAAGCCAAAAAAAAAAAAAAAAAGUUGUUGUCAGUUUCUUCCAAAGCUGAAAAGGACUAUGAUGAAAAUCCCAACGGUAACAGUCCUCAAAAUUUUUCUUAAAUUUUUACCUUGUAUAACUGGAUACUAGGUGGAGCUUCCUCAACUAUUAAGUUCAUGAAAAAAGGAAUUUAAUUUCUUCUGAAUUUGAAGAAUAUUCUAAGUUGGCCUCCAAACACAUUCAGCCACAUGCACUGACCCAGUGUCAAAGAACGGUUUAAAAAAAAGCAUAGUGUGAAGUUCCCGUCAUGGUGAAGCGGAAAUGAAUCUGACCUGGAACCAUGAGGUUUCGGGUUCGAGUCCUGGCUUCACUCAGUGGGUUAAGGAUCCAGCAUCGUCAUGAGCUGUGGUGUAGGUGGCAAAUGUGGCUCGGAUCUGGCGUUGCUGUGGCUGUGGUGUAGGCCGGCAGCUGUAGCUCCGGGACCCCUAGCCUGGGAGCCUCCACAUGCCGUGGGUUCGGCCCUAAAAAACGAAAAACCAACAAACAAAAAGCAUAGUGCAACCUCAGUGCAAAUUAGGAAUGUCAAGAAAUGAACAAACCCACUGAGCCAUGAUGGGAACUCUUUAAUCCCUAAUUUAGCUAAAAGAUGUACCCUCUUAGCUCCUUCCAAAUAUACAAUACAGUAUUAUUAACUAUAGAUACUAUGCUGUACAUAACAUUCCCAGGACAUGCUUAUUUAAUUUUUUAAAGUUUUAUUGAAGUGUAAUUGAUUUACAAUAUUGUGCCAUUUUCUGCUGUACAGCAAAGUGACCCAGUCAUAUGUAUAUAUAUAUCCCUUCCUUAUAUUAUCUUUCAUCAUGUUUUAUUACAAGAGACUGGAUGUAGUUCCCUAUACUAUACAGUAGGAACUUGUUUUUCCAUCCUAUACAUACUAGUUUGUCUCUGUUAAUCCCAAACCCCCAGUCUGUCCCACUUUCCUUUCUCUCCCACUUGGCAGCCACAAGUCUGCUCUCCAUGUCUGUGAGUCUUUCGUUUCUGUAGAUAGGUUCAUUUGUACCAUAUUUUAUUUAUUUAUUUAUUUAUUAUUAUUGAUUGAUUGAUUGAUUGAUUGUCUUUUUGUUGUUGUUGCUAUCUCUUGGGCCACUUCCGCGGCAUAUGGAGGUUCCCAGGCUAGGGGUUGAAUCGGAGCUGUAGCCACCGGCCUACGCCAGAGCCACAGCAACGCGGGAUCCGAGCCCCGUCUGCAACCUACACCACAGCUCACGGCAACGCCAGAUCCUUAACCCACUGAGCAAGGGCAGGGACCGAACCCGCAACCUCAUGGUUCCUAGUCGGAUUCGUUAACCACUGCGCCACGACGGGAACUCCUGUACCAUAUUUUAGAUUCCACAAAUAAGUGAUAUCAUAUGGUAUUUGUCUUUCUCUUUAUGACUUAUUUCACUCAGUAUGAAAAUCUCUAGAUGUAUCUCUGUUACUGCAAAUGGCAAAGAAUUCAAAAUAAAUAAAAAUAUACUUGAUUAACAAUAUUGUGUUAGUUUCAGGGGUAUAGCAAAGCUAUUUGGUUAUAAAUGUGUAUUUAUACAUCUAUAUUCUUUUUUUCUUUUUUCCUUUUUUUUUUUUUUGUCUUUUUAGGGCCACACCCACGGCAUAUGGAAGUUCCCAGCUAGGGGCCUAAUCGGAACUGUAGCCACCAUCCUACACCAGAGCCACAGCAAUGCCAGAUCCAAGCUGAGUCUGUGACCUACACCACAGCUUGCUGCAACGCUGGAUCCUUAACCCACUGAGCAAGGCCAGGGAUCAAACCCACAACCUCAUGGUUCCUAGUCAGAUUCAUUAACCACUGAGCCAUGACAGGAGCUCCCUGUUGUUGUUCUUUUUAAAAAAAAAAAUUAAUUUAUUUUUUUGGCUAUGCCCACAGCAUGCAGAAGUUCCUAGACCAGAGAUCGAACCCGCACCAUAGCAGUGACCCAAGCCACUGCUGUGAUAAUACUGGGUCCUUAACCGGAUGCACCACAGGGGAACUCCUGUUGUUCUUUUUAAAUUUCAUACACACACGCACGCACACACACACACACAGGAUCAUAUGGUAUUUUUCUUUGUCUAACUUAUUUCACUUAGCAAAAUGCCCUUAAGUUUCAUCCAUGUUGCUACAAAAAUUUUUAAUUUCGAGAGUUUAAUUUAUUCAUUUUUUCUUUCUUGCUGAUACUAUUAAUCUGUUCUCUGUAUAUGAGUUUGUCUUGGUCAUUGGUUUUGCUAUCUUGUUUUAUUUUUGGUUUCCACACAGGCUUUGUCUGCUUACAGAGCAAUGAGGCUAUAGAUAUUAGUGAAAAGAGUCAUAUGUGUGUAUAUACUUGAAUAGUUAUUAUAAAUAAAUAAAUAGAUGUUAUUACGACAAAUGAGAGGUAGAAGGAGCAGAAAAAUCCCGUUCUGAGGGUGCAUAUUUGGGGGAUGUGUCCUAGUUCAGGAGUCAGGAGGCUCAGAGAAAGCCUGAAGAAGCUGAGAUCUGAAGGGAGAAGUUAACGAGGUAAAGGGAAGAACAGGGGCAAAAGCUCUGUGGUGAGAGGGAUCCUGCUGAGUGUGGGGGAUGAACAUAGGUUCACUGUGGCUUGAGCAGAGAGAACAGGGACAGAAUGAGGUUCAUGGGGCAGGGAGGAGGCUGACUGUGCCUGGUCACACAGGCCAUAUGAAAGAGUCCUGUUUCUUUCCUGUCCCACAAAGAUCCCUGUUCUUUAUAACCUGACGUGCAAUGUUUUGAAAACCAUUACUUUUCAUAUCUUUUUGUACUGUUAUUGUUUUCUCUUCUUUAUUCUCAGUGGUUUCUUAGUACUCUAUGGUGUAUGGAUGUAUCUUGAUUGAUAUAGCCAGUCCUCUGCAAUGAUCAUUGAGAUAUUUUACAAUUUUUUGCUCUUUCUAACAGUGUUAAAAACUAAUAUCUUUCCACAUGCAACUUCUCUUGUAUUGCAUGAUAGCCAUACAGACAUAGCUAGUCAGUAGAAGCAGCCAAUGAAAGAAAAGUCAAAUGCAGACACCCUUUCAGUAAAUUAAGCAAGGCUUCUCUUUUAUGGUCACUUUUCUUUCUAGAACCUGCUCUGUCUCACUCUAGGCUGGCCUUCUUUGGGAACUGACAGUUUAUUAGGCAGAUUAUAUCUAUAAAUCCCAAUUGUGAAUUGUUUCAAGUUCUCACUUUGUAUUUAGGACUGCUAGGCCAUUGCGAUUAAGAGAUGAGAUGCAGUAACUGUUUUAAAUGUCCCUGAACCUUCUAAGACGGUGAAGAGCCCAUUCUACUCAAGGCACAUAGUAGUUUUCUAAAACCUCACUUCCUCAUUGCUGGCUGUGGGCUGUAUUGAUGAAUGUCAGUAGUUGGCUGCGAGGGGAGGAAGGCCAAGCACAGUGGCUCUAUUUGGUAAAUCUAAAGGUUUUACAUACCUUGGGGAUCCAGAAGGAAACCAGCAGUCAGAAAACAAGUCGACCAGCAGCAUUCUUUGGGAUGGAGAGAAGUGCGAGCUUCAGAACCUAAAACAUCUCACCAUAGAUGUGUGUGCUGGUGGGGGAUGGGGGUGGGUGGGGAGGGAGAGAAACGCAGAUGGGAACAUUGGGGUACCAGGGUCACAUUCAGUCUUCAGGAAGCUCAGCCACCCUCCCAGGCCCAGACUCCUGUGUGUAUGUAUCAACCUGCUAUGUGUUGGGCUAGUGACUUGCAUCAAUUCUGAGGCUAAACACUGUGGUGUUUUUUAUUGUGGGGCACCAUUUAUGCAUCCUCAGCAUGACUGGACAUCCCCUUGCCUGACCUCAGGUAAACACAGGCUGGUCCACAGCAUUCCUGUACUCCCAGCUGUGGACCUGGCACAAGACUCAGUGCCUCAGAAUCUCUGGGGUCACCCAGCAGCUCCUUAGACCAGAUGAAUGGCCUGGCUACAGGCAUUCAGGGUCAAAACCUAGAAUGGAUCUUUCAUCAUCCAUUCUUCGAAAAUGCCUCUCACAACCUUUGCACAUUUCUAUUUGCCCAUUUCCACAGCCACUGCUGCACUUGUCCCAAGACCUCUUCAUUACUAAGCCUCAGAAUUGGCCUUGGGCAUGCCCUGUGUGGUUCUCCUUACAGAUGUAUGUUAAGUUUAGACCUUUGGGCUGUUGGGUACCCAGAGCCCUACCUUGAAAACAUAAAUUUACCACUGACCACUAGGUGGAACCCUGACCACUAGGUGGCACCCUAUCACAAGUUAUUCUACCUUUAGGAUCAGCAUUUUAAGACUGCUAGCUUUGAGACCUCCCUUUGGAAUAUCAGGUUUAAGCAUUGUUGGGUCCAGUUCCAAUAUAAAUUUUAAAAGCUUGUCUGAGCAAUAUACAGGUAACCACAUAGUGAGAUUGGUUGUGGUCUCUCUGCUCCUCCAUUCAGUCUGUAUUUGUUGAAAGGAUGUAUUUACUGAAUGGAUUAGCCACUGCUUUUCUGUAUUAAUGUCUUCUCUGUGACUCUUUUCUCUCUGGACUGCCGAAACGCCAGUGCAUGCCAGUCUCAUGUCUCCUCCUCAGCCCAGCUGAAUUAGUCGCAGAGCUUUGGCAAUUGCGAGUACGCCUUCUACCUUUGCUCUUUCAUUUAUCAGUAAAACAGAAGGAAGAAACAAUAGGACCACAAAUCCUUUUCCUUAGGCAGUCCAAGGAGGCCAUGGCCACACUAUUUAUAGCAAGUAAUUCAAAUGAAAUAAAUCCCAAGAUAUUUUCUCCUAUGGAUAACUUUAAUUGUUGUGGCUCCUUGCUACUAUCUACUUCCUUUGGUCAUUGUAGUGAUAUUUCAUAAACUCUGCCUGCCACUGGACCUUGCUUAAUUGUAGCAGAUGCUGGGAAAUCAGACCCAACCUUCUCCAUCUUGUCUCAGUGCACUUGCAAACAAACAUUUAUUUGAUUUCCUGUCAUGAAAUUUUGCUUUAUUACCUGUCCCUUCCAUUAAAUUUUUUUUAAAAAUUGAACUAUAGAAGUUCCUGCUGUGGCGCAACGGAAUCAGCACUGUCUCUUCAGAACUAAGACACAGGUUCGAUCUCACCCACACAAUAGGUUAGAGGAUCUGGCAUUGCCAAAGCUGUGGCAUAGGUUGCAAUUGCAGCUCGGAUUUCAUCCCUGGCCAGGGAGCUCCAUAUGCUGUG